Molecule: transfer RNA, 73 nt
Filed under: Camelus bactrianus (Bactrian camel)
Lineage: Eukaryota; Metazoa; Chordata; Mammalia; Artiodactyla; Camelidae
Also listed under: 3 other names
Rfam family: tRNA
About the family: Transfer RNA (tRNA) molecules are approximately 80 nucleotides in length. Their secondary structure includes four short double-helical elements and three loops (D, anti-codon, and T loops).
Source: Rfam by way of RNAcentral
GAGGGUAUAGCUCAAGUGGUAGAGCGCAUGCUUAGCAUGCACGAGGUCCUGGGUUCAAGCCCCAGUAAACUCC